CCUACGGGAGGCAGCAGUGAGGAAUAUUGGUCAAUGGCCGGAAGGCUGAACCAGCCAUGCCGCGUGAAGGUCAGUGCCCUAUGGGCGUUAAACUUCUUUUGUGCGGGAGCAAUAAUGGUCACGUGUGGCCAGACGAGAGUACCGUACGAAUAAGCAUCGGCUAACUCCGUGCCAGCAGCCGCGGUAAUACGGGGGAUGCAAGCGUUAUCCGGAUUUAUUGGGUUUAAAGGGUGCGUAGGCUGUGAGGUAAGUCAGCGGUGAAAUGCCCCCGAUCAACGGGGUGAAGUGCCAUUGAUACUGCCUGGCUGGAAUGCGGAUGCCGUGGGAGGAAUGUGUGGUGUAGCGGUGAAAUGCAUAGAUAUCACACAGAACACCGAUUGCGAAGGCAUCUCACGAAUCCGCGAUUGACGCUGAUGCACGAAAGCGUGGGUAUCAAACAGGAUUAGAUACCCGUGUAGUC
Molecule: ribosomal RNA, 460 nt
Filed under: uncultured bacterium
Lineage: Bacteria
Description: partial 16S ribosomal RNA
Rfam family: Bacterial small subunit ribosomal RNA
Source: RNAcentral